Molecule: ribosomal RNA, 468 nt
Filed under: uncultured bacterium
Lineage: Bacteria
Description: partial 16S ribosomal RNA
Rfam family: Bacterial small subunit ribosomal RNA
Source: RNAcentral
GACGAACGCUGGCGGCGUGCUUAACACAUGCAAGUCGAACGGAAAGGCACUGCUUUUGUGGGGUGCUCGAGUGGCGAACGGGUGCGUAUCACGUGAGUAACCUGCCCUUGACUUUGGGAUAACUUCAGGAAACUGGGGCUACUCUCGGAUAGGAGCUCCUGCUGCAUGGUGGGGGUUGGAAAGUUUCGGCGGUUGGGGAUGGACUGGCGGCUUAUCAGCUUGUUGGUGGGGUAGUGGCUUACCAAGGCUUUGACGGGUAGCCGGCCUGAGAGGGUGACCGGGCUCAUGGGGACUGAGAGACGGCCCAGACUCCUACGGGAGGCAGCAGGGGGGAAUAUGGCACAAUGGGCGGAAGCCUGAUGCGGCAACGCCGCGGGCGGGAUGACGGCCUGCGGGUUGUAAACCGCUUUCGCCUGUGACGAAGCGGUAGUGACGGUAAUGAGUAAAGAAGCACCGGCUAACUACGUG